This 1003-nucleotide ribosomal RNA is filed under the name human gut metagenome. Its description in RNAcentral is "bacterial LSU rRNA". It matches the Rfam family "Bacterial large subunit ribosomal RNA", at positions 1928 to 2925 of the family's 2925-position model. The record is from RNAcentral.
CGGCGGCCGUAACUAUAACGGUCCUAAGGUAGCGAAAUUCCUUGUCGGGUAAGUUCCGACCUGCACGAAUGGCGUAAUGAUGGCCAGGCUGUCUCCACCCGAGACUCAGUGAAAUUGAACUCGCUGUGAAGAUGCAGUGUACCCGCGGCAAGACGGAAAGACCCCGUGAACCUUUACUAUAGCUUGACACUGAACAUUGAGCCUUGAUGUGUAGGAUAGGUGGGAGGCUUUGAAGUGUGGACGCCAGUCUGCAUGGAGCCAACCUUGAAAUACCACCCUUUAAUGUUUGAUGUUCUAACGUAGACCCGUGAUCCGGGUUGCGGACAGUGUCUGGUGGGUAGUUUGACUGGGGCGGUCUCCUCCCAAAGAGUAACGGAGGAGCACGAAGGUUAGCUAAUCCUGGUCGGACAUCAGGAGGUUAGUGCAAUGGCAUAAGCUAGCUUGACUGCGAGCGUGACGGCGCGAGCAGGUGCGAAAGCAGGUCAUAGUGAUCCGGUGGUUCUGAAUGGAAGGGCCAUCGCUCAACGGAUAAAAGGUACUCCGGGGAUAACAGGCUGAUACCGCCCAAGAGUUCAUAUCGACGGCGGUGUUUGGCACCUCGAUGUCGGCUCAUCACAUCCUGGGGCUGAAGUAGGUCCCAAGGGUAUGGCUGUUCGCCAUUUAAAGUGGUACGCGAGCUGGGUUUAGAACGUCGUGAGACAGUUCGGUCCCUAUCUGCCGUGGGCGCUGGAGAAUUGAGGGGGGCUGCUCCUAGUACGAGAGGACCGGAGUGGACGCAUCACUGGUGUUCGGGUUGUCAUGCCAAUGGCAUUGCCCGGUAGCUAAAUGCGGAAAAGAUAAGUGCUGAAAGCAUCUAAGCACGAAACUUGCCCCGAGAUGAGUUCUCCCUGACUCCUUGAGAGUCCUGAAGGAACGUUGAAGACGACGACGUUGAUAGGUCGGGUGUGUAAGCGUAGCGAUACGUUGAGCUAACCGAUACUAAUGAACCGUGAGGCUUAACCUU